CCACACAGACGAGAAACCAAAAAAUUAACUUGGAGCGAUUAUGAUAUGAUAGUAAUUGAAAAAAUAAAUUAAAGGUACAAAUAUAACCAAGCCUGCAACUAUAUAUCAGUUUCUAUCGAGUCAUACAGAAUAAAUUCUACACAAUUGAAAAGGAAAGGAAAAUCACAAUUAAGCUCUGCCAUCGAGUUCCACUCAGCAAUUGAAAAAUGCCAAAAACAUAAUAAACCGAAAAUAAGUAUGGGAAAAGAACCUUGGAAUUUGAGGAGAUUAAGAUUGGGAUUGGAUUUACAGAUGUCGAGGAACGACGAGGACUUGAUAUCUGUCGGCGAGAGCAAAUUCAGAGCCAUGGUGUGUCACUCUACUGCCAGUUAAAGAAUCUUACACUGAGUAUUGAAAUUUGAAAAUGGAAGGUUUGUGUUAAUUCAAGAAUAUAAAAUCUUUACAAGUGCAGGAGACGAGACUAAACUUCCGGAGAGAUUUUGGAUGGAUAACAGAUAGUGACGAACUUCAGGGAGAGAGAGAGAGAGAGAUAUAGGAAGAGACAGACAGAGUGAGUUGUCAGAUGUAAGUACUGUGGAUUACUUUGUGUCUCACGAGGAGCAACCUACGAGAAGUUAAAAUCAAGAAAAUAAUGGAUAUAAAUCAAUUUUUCAUCAUUGAUUUAUUUUAUUCUUCGUUGACUUUCUAAUUCGC
This 693-nucleotide long non-coding RNA is filed under the name Olea europaea (common olive). RNAcentral's name for it is "long non-coding RNA (OEUR_LNC008788)". The record is from RNAcentral. Lineage: Eukaryota; Viridiplantae; Streptophyta; Magnoliopsida; Lamiales; Oleaceae.